UGGGAAUGCUAGCUCAAUGUAGAGCGCUCGCUUAGCAUGCGAGAGGUACAGGAUCGAUACCUGCUUCUCAU
RNAcentral lists this transfer RNA (71 nucleotides) under Phytophthora infestans (potato late blight agent). RNAcentral's name for it is "tRNA-Ala". It matches the Rfam family "tRNA". From Rfam's summary of the family: Transfer RNA (tRNA) molecules are approximately 80 nucleotides in length. Their secondary structure includes four short double-helical elements and three loops (D, anti-codon, and T loops). The record is from RNAcentral. Lineage: Eukaryota; Oomycota; Peronosporomycetes; Peronosporales; Peronosporaceae.